Molecule: transfer RNA, 26 nt
Filed under: Anolis cybotes (large-headed anole)
Lineage: Eukaryota; Metazoa; Chordata; Lepidosauria; Squamata; Anolidae
Description: partial tRNA-Asx
Source: RNAcentral
CUGAAUGGACGGGCCUCGAUCCCGCG